This 30-nucleotide non-coding RNA is filed under the name Mus musculus (house mouse). Lineage: Eukaryota; Metazoa; Chordata; Mammalia; Rodentia; Muridae. The record is from RNAcentral.
UUGUUUAUGCGGGUUAAAGCUAUUGACAGU